CCCAACUAUCCCUAUUAAUCAUUACGUCAAUCCUAGAAACCAACAAAAUAAGAUCAACGUCCUAUUUCAUUAUUCCAUGCUAAUGUAUUCAAGCGUGAGCCUGCUUUAAACACUCUAAUUUUUUCAAAGUAACAGUCCUGAUUCCCUACCACACCAAAUUAAUGGCAUGAUAGUUCUUCAGAAGGGAGAAAUCAGUAGCACCAGUGCAUACCAGAGGCACGACCAGCGCACUGAUUCCGAAAUUCAACUACGAGCUUUUUAACUGCAACAACUUUAAUAUACGCUAUUGGAGCUGGAAUUACCGCGGCUGCUGGCACCAGACUUGCCCUCCAA
Molecule: unclassified non-coding RNA, 333 nt
Filed under: uncultured Glomeraceae
Lineage: Eukaryota; Fungi; Glomeromycota; Glomeromycetes; Glomerales; Glomeraceae
Description: sequence contains 18S rRNA gene
Source: RNAcentral